This 402-nucleotide ribosomal RNA is filed under the name uncultured prokaryote. Its description in RNAcentral is "bacterial SSU rRNA". It matches the Rfam family "Bacterial small subunit ribosomal RNA", at positions 355 to 774 of the family's 1533-position model. The record is from RNAcentral.
UGGGGAAUAUUGCACAAUGGGGGAAACCCUGAUGCAGCAACGCCGCGUGAGUGAUGACGGCCUUCGGGUUGUAAAGCUCUGUCUUCAGGGACGAUAAUGACGGUACCUGAGGAGGAAGCCACGGCUAACUACGUGCCAGCAGCCGCGGUAAUACGUAGGUGGCGAGCGUUGUCCGGAUUUACUGGGCGUAAAGGGAGCGUAGGCGGACUUUUAAGUGAGAUGUGAAAUACCCGGGCUCAACUUGGGUGCUGCAUUUCAAACUGGAAGUCUAGAGUGCAGGAGAGGAGAAUGGAAUUCCCGGUGGAGUGGUAAAAUACGUAGAGAUCGGGAGGAACACCAGUGGCGAAGGCGACUCUCUGGUCUGUAACUGACGCUGAGGAGCGAAAGCGUGGGGAGCGAACA